AACUUCAAUUUUAAUCUGGAUAACGCCAAAGCUUUUCCUCAAAUUCACCCCUGGAGUCAGCUCAUAGAUGCUCUGAUUUUGUCUACCAUUGCUCCUCCUUAAUAUCUCUCGCACAGGUGCCAUUGACCUUUAGAUGGGCUGUACGGUGUGGGGUUCGGUGCCAUGGAUCUGCUUCUCCAGGGACCAGGAUCUUGAGAUCUUCAGGCUGGGUUUCCAUGGAGGCAUGGAGCUGCUUUUCCUCCUUCAUAACUGCACUCAAAACAGCCCUGUUGCUCUAGAAUGGAGACUUGGGCAACUCCUUCUGGCACAGAUUUGUUCACCUCAGGUGAAAUUCAGAUAGAAGCAAGCUGCAGGCAGUUUCACCUCUAAGUCCAUGGGUUCUCAACUGGUAACGUCCUCUUAUGGAUGUUAGCCCAUGAGGUCAAUCCUGUAGCAAUCUAAGGCUUGAGAAAAAUUAAUCUUCUGGAAAAUUCCAAGAAUACAUCUUAGGGAAACUGGCUCUACCUUUAUGACUUGGAUCACACAAGGAUAUGCUUUUCAUCUUGGACUAGAACUGAGAGCCAAUGGAUGUGUUAUCUAAAACUAUCCCAGUGUGUUCACUAUACAGAGGAAGAUUCUGAGAUUCAAGACUCAAGACUGAAGAAGAUCAUUAUUUUUAUUAUUUUAGUCUUAUGCACAAAAUGAUAUCUACUGAAUAAGCAGGUUUUUAAUAGGUGACUUAUAUAUGUUAGCAAAAAUAAACACUUUGUCUUUUAGAUCUAUUCUAGUUUUUCAGUAGCUGUAGACUUAAGUGCUAACUUUUAGCCCAUAGGAUAAGAAGAAACCAAGUCCUAAAAGUAGGCCAGCACCAGGGUUCAGGCCUCUGACUUCAAGCCAAGGGCUCAUCAUCUUGAAUUGCGCACGAAUUUUUACACAGCGCCAAAGGAAACUGCCUGUACUUACUGUUGUAGGUGCUUUGCUGGAUUCAGGAUGCAGACAAGGUCCACGCAUUGUGGUUGGUUCAGUCCCGGAGCAGACACAAC
RNAcentral lists this long non-coding RNA (1022 nucleotides) under Homo sapiens (human). Its description in RNAcentral is "HSALNT0357575". The record is from RNAcentral. Lineage: Eukaryota; Metazoa; Chordata; Mammalia; Primates; Hominidae.